CAUUUGUUCUCUAAAUAAGGACUUGUAUGAACGGCAACACGAGAGUUUUACUGUCUCUUACUUCCAAUCAGUGAAAUUGACCUCCCCGUGAAGAGGCGGGGAUAUAUUAACAAGACGAGAAGACCCUAUGGAGCUUUAACUAACUAACCCAAAGAAAACACUCUCAACCAUCAAGGGAUAAUAACACUCUUUAUGGGCUAGCAGUUUUGGUUGGGGCGACCUCGGAGAACAAAAAAUCCUCCGAACGAUUUUAAAGGCUAGACCUACAAGUCAAACCAAAUUAUCGCUUAUUGAUCCAAAAAUUUGAUCAACGGAACAAGUUACCCUAGGGAUAACAGCGCA
RNAcentral lists this ribosomal RNA (342 nucleotides) under Capricornis crispus (Japanese serow). RNAcentral's name for it is "partial 16S ribosomal RNA". It matches the Rfam family "Bacterial large subunit ribosomal RNA", at positions 1966 to 2484 of the family's 2925-position model. Lineage: Eukaryota; Metazoa; Chordata; Mammalia; Artiodactyla; Bovidae. The record is from RNAcentral.